GCAGAAGAAGCGCCGGCUAACUAGUGCCAGCAGCCGCGGUAUAACGUAGGGCGCAAGCGUUGUCCGAAAUUAUGGGCGUAAAGAGCUCGUAGGCGGUUUGUCGCGUCUGGUGUGAAAUCCCGAGGCUCAACCUCGGGCUUGCAUCGGGUACGGGCAGACUAGAGUGCGGUAGGGGAGACUGGAAUUCCUGGUGUAGCGGUGGAAUGCGCAGAUAUCAGGAGGAACACCGAUGGCGAAGGCAGGUCUCUGGGCCGCAACUGACGCUGAGGAGCGAAAGCAUGGGGAGCGAACAGGAUUAGAUACCCUGGUAGUCCAUGCCGUAAACGUUGGGCACUAGGUGUGGGGCUCAUUCCACGAGUUCCGUGCCGCAGCUAACGCAUUAAGUGCCCCGCCUGGGGAGUACGGCCGCAAGGCUAAAACUCAAAGGAAUUGACGGGGGCCCGCACAAGCGGCGGAGCAUGCGGAUUAAUUCGAUGCAACGCGAAGAACCUUACCAAGGCUUGACAUGCACCGGAAACACUCAGAGAUGGGUGCCCCGCAAGGUCGGUGCACAGGUGGUGCAUGGUUGUCGUCAGCUCGUGUCGUGAGAUGUUGGGUUAAGUCCCGCAACGAGCGCAACCCUCGUCCCAUGUUGCCAGCGGGUUAUGCCGGGGACUCAUGGGAGACUGCCGGGGUCAACUCGGAGGAAGGUGGGGAUGACGUCAAAUCAUCAUGCCCCUUAUGUCUUGGGCUUCACGCAUGCUACAAUGGCCGGUACAGAGGGCUGCGAUACCGUAAGGUGGAGCGAAUCCCAAAAAGCCGGUCUCAGUUCGGAUUGGGGUCUGCAACUCGACCCCAUGAAGUCGGAGUCGCUAGUAAUCGCAGAUCAGCAACGCUGCGGUGAAUACGUUCCCGGGCCUUGUACACACC
RNAcentral lists this ribosomal RNA (909 nucleotides) under Isoptericola hypogeus. RNAcentral describes it as "bacterial SSU rRNA". It matches the Rfam family "Bacterial small subunit ribosomal RNA", at positions 481 to 1391 of the family's 1533-position model. Lineage: Bacteria; Bacillati; Actinomycetota; Actinomycetes; Micrococcales; Promicromonosporaceae. The record is from RNAcentral.